Long non-coding RNA from Sceloporus undulatus (fence lizard), 328 nucleotides. RefSeq lists it as uncharacterized. NCBI's taxonomy places the organism in Eukaryota, Metazoa, Chordata, Lepidosauria, Squamata, Phrynosomatidae. The record is from RefSeq and is a predicted model, not a curated record. The transcript is spliced from 3 exons.
CGGAAGAACCCUAACACUGCCAGCCGUCAGUUUCCUAGUGUGGUGGAAGAUAGUCUGAAAAAUGCAUCAAAUGAGGCUCUGAAGGGCUUGAAACUGACAGAUGUCACAGCUACAGCCAAGAACAAUCCCUCCACGCCCUCCUCCACAACCAUCCAUUCUGAGGACACGUCCAGCCACACCACCUCCAAGACAACGCAGAAGCCAAACACAACAACAACAAUCUCUCCAGCAAGUCUUCCCAGUACUUCUAGUUCUUCUGCAUCUGAUGUUGUUCCAGGCUGGGGCAUUGCUCUCCUUGUCUUAGUUUGCAUUAUUCUGCUCAUAGCCC